This 492-nucleotide ribosomal RNA is filed under the name uncultured bacterium. Its description in RNAcentral is "partial 16S ribosomal RNA". It matches the Rfam family "Bacterial small subunit ribosomal RNA", at positions 29 to 507 of the family's 1533-position model. The record is from RNAcentral.
AGUGAACGCUGGCGGUAGGCCUAACACAUGCAAGUCGAACGGCAGCACAGUAAGAGCUUGCUCUUACGGGUGGCGAGUGGCGGACGGGUGAGGAAUACAUCGGAAUCUACUUUUUCGUGGGGGAUAACGUAGGGAAACUUACGCUACUACCGCAUACUACCUACGGGUGAAAGCAGGGGAUCUUCGGACCUUGCGCGAUUGAAUGAGCCGAUGUCGGAUUAGCUAGUUGGCGGGGUAAAGGCCCACCAAGGCGACGAUCCGUAGCUGGUCUGAGAGGAUGAUCAGCCACACUGGAACUGAGACACGGUCCAGACUCCUACGGGAGGCAGCAGUGGGGAAUAUUGGACAAUGGGCGCAAGCCUGAUCCAGCCAUACCGCGUGGGUGAAGAAGGCCUUCGGGUUGUAAAGCCCUUUUGUUGGGAAAGAAAAGCAGCAGGUUAAUACCCCGAUGUUCUGACGGUACCCAAAGAAUAAGCACCGGCUAACUUCGUG